This 587-nucleotide ribosomal RNA is filed under the name uncultured bacterium. RNAcentral describes it as "bacterial SSU rRNA". It matches the Rfam family "Bacterial small subunit ribosomal RNA", at positions 338 to 917 of the family's 1533-position model. The record is from RNAcentral.
CCUACGGGAGGCAGCAGUGGGGAAUAUUGGACAAUGGGGGCAACCCUGAUCCAGCCAUGCCGCGUGUGUGAAGAAGGCCCUCGGGUUGUAAAGCACUUUCAGCGAGGAAGAACGCCUAGCGGUUAAUACCCGCUAGGAAAGACAUCACUCGCAGAAGAAGCACCGGCUAACUCCGUGCCAGCAGCCGCGGUAAUACGGAGGGUGCAAGCGUUAAUCGGAAUUACUGGGCGUAAAGCGCGCGUAGGUGGCUUGAUAAGCCGGUUGUGAAAGCCCCGGGCUCAACCUGGGAACGGCAUCCGGAACUGUCAAGCUAGAGUGCAGGAGAGGAAGGUAGAAUUCCCGGUGUAGCGGUGAAAUGCGUAGAGAUCGGGAGGAAUACCAGUGGCGAAGGCGGCCUUCUGGACUGACACUGACACUGAGGUGCGAAAGCGUGGGUAGCAAACAGGAUUAGAUACACUGGUAGUCCACGCCGUAAACGAUGUCGACCAGCCGUUGGGUGCCUAGCGCACUUUGUGGCGAAGUUAACGCGAUAAGUCGACCGCCUGGGGAGUACGGCCGCAAGGUUAAAACUCAAAUGAAUUGACGGA